This is a long non-coding RNA of Mytilus californianus (California mussel), 730 nucleotides long. RefSeq lists it as uncharacterized. NCBI's taxonomy places the organism in Eukaryota, Metazoa, Mollusca, Bivalvia, Mytilida, Mytilidae. The transcript has 2 exons. The record is from RefSeq and is a predicted model, not a curated record.
GUUGCACAAAACAAAAUAUGUUACAAAAUAGUAUGGUGUCGAAUAUCUUUAACACGUACGCAUUCACUGAUAUCCAGCAUUGCAUUUAGACAUAACGUCGUUUUAAAUAUUGUCAUUCUUUCUGAUUAAUCAUCCUUUUGAUUCGGUUCAAUCACUGAAAAUGAUGCUACUGUAUAGUUUUGUAAUAUGCAUGGUUUCGAAUUUAGCAUCUGCUGGUGUACUUGAAGACUUGAUAUACGAAAUGGAAAAGCGUCAAUCAUAUAAACCGGCAUUUCUUGUAACAUUAUCUAAAACUGUCAACUUAAGAAAGAAUCACGUAGUAAAGUUUGAUGCUAUACAAACAAACAUCGGAGGUGGUUAUGACGCAAUUUCUGGAGUGUUUACUGUUCCAUGAAAAGGCACAUACGAAUUUGCAGUGAAUUUCAUUGCCAGUAAUGAUAGGAACGAGUGGCUCGAAUUAGAUCUGAUUGAACAACAUAGUUGUUGUAAGGGGACAUGCUGCUUAUGAUAAAUAUACAUCGGGAUCUCUUCAAACCAUCCUUGAACUGAACGAAGGCGAUCGCAUCUGGGUCAGUCAUCCACGAAGUUGAGGGCAGCUUUAUGGUGAUAAUUUCACGAUGUUUUCUGGCCAUUAUAUAUAAGUGAGAUGCACCAAAUAAAAAAUCAUCGAAUAAUUUGAUGGUCUUUCUUCUUUUAAAUACACUUGAGAUAUUAAUUUACAACUAUCAGA